RNAcentral lists this ribosomal RNA (459 nucleotides) under uncultured Pseudomonas sp. RNAcentral's name for it is "bacterial SSU rRNA". It matches the Rfam family "Bacterial small subunit ribosomal RNA", at positions 118 to 573 of the family's 1533-position model. Lineage: Bacteria; Pseudomonadati; Pseudomonadota; Gammaproteobacteria; Pseudomonadales; Pseudomonadaceae. The record is from RNAcentral.
UAGGAAUCUGCCUGGUAGUGGGGGACAACGUUUCGAAAGGAACGCUAAUACCGCAUACGUCCUACGGGAGAAAGCAGGGGACCUUCGGGCCUUGCGCUAUCAGAUGAGCCUAGGUCGGAUUAGCUAGUUGGUGAGGUAAUGGCUCACCAAGGCUACGAUCCGUAACUGGUCUGAGAGGAUGAUCAGUCACACUGGAACUGAGACACGGUCCAGACUCCUACGGGAGGCAGCAGUGGGGAAUAUUGGACAAUGGGCGAAAGCCUGAUCCAGCCAUGCCGCGUGUGUGAAGAAGGUCUUCGGAUUGUAAAGCACUUUAAGUUGGGAGGAAGGGCAGUAAGCUAAUAUCUUGCUGUUUUGACGUUACCGACAGAAUAAGCACCGGCUAACUCUGUGCCAGCAGCCGCGGUAAUACAGAGGGUGCAAGCGUUAAUCGGAAUUACUGGGCGUAAAGCGCGCGUA